This 253-nucleotide long non-coding RNA is filed under the name Carica papaya (papaya). RNAcentral's name for it is "long non-coding RNA (CPAP_LNC015107)". Lineage: Eukaryota; Viridiplantae; Streptophyta; Magnoliopsida; Brassicales; Caricaceae. The record is from RNAcentral.
UCUUCAAAAGAGGAUGUCCCUACAAAGGUAUAUGGGUUUAGAUUUUUGUACCUUUCAAUGUAGCUUGGGUCCCUCAUGGGUGGAACUGGGUCCUGUUGAAGAGGAACUGAAUUAUGUUGGAGAGGGACCAAAUGGCCCUAUGGUGGUGCCGGAUGAUAUGGUGGAGGUACCAAGUUGUACUGUGACAGUACCAGAUGAUGGGGUGGAGGCACUUGAGUGUACUGUGGUGGUGAUGGAUGUUACGGUAGAGGAG